This 654-nucleotide ribosomal RNA is filed under the name uncultured bacterium. RNAcentral's name for it is "bacterial SSU rRNA". It matches the Rfam family "Bacterial small subunit ribosomal RNA", at positions 166 to 796 of the family's 1533-position model. The record is from RNAcentral.
AUACCGCAUGAGACCAGGGAUGCUUCGGCAACUGCGGUCAAAGCUGGCCUCUUCAUGAAAGCUAGCACCCAAGGACGAGCCUGCGGCCCAUCAUUGCUAGUUGGUAGGGUAACGGCCUACCAAGGCUAAGACGGGUAGCUGGUCUGAGAGGAUGAUCAGCCACACUGGCACUGAAACACGGGCCAGACUCCUACGGGAGGCAGCAGUGGGGAAUAUUGGACAAUGGGCGCAAGCCUGAUCCAGCGACGCCGCGUGAGUGAUGAAGGCCUUCGGGUUGUAAAGCUCUGUUGAGGGAGAAGAAAACGGCUGGCGUGAAUAACUCCAGUCCUUGACGGUAUCCCUUUAGAAAGCACCGGCUAACUCUGUGCCAGCAGCCGCGGUAAGACAGAGGGUGCAAACGUUGCUCGGAAUUACUGGGCGUAAAGCGCGUGUAGGCGGGCCUUCAAGUCGGACGUGAAAGCCCUGGGCUCAACCCAGGAACUGCAUCCGAAACGGAGGCCGGAGUGGUGGAGAGGGAAGCAGAAUUCCUGGUGUAGAGGUGAAAUUCGUAGAUAUCAGGAGGAACACCGGUGGCGAAGGCGGCUUCCUGGACACUUACUGACGCUGAGACGCGAAAGCGUGGGGAGCAAACAGGAUUAGAUACCCUGGUAGUCC